CCCUUAGAUGUUCUGGGCCGCACGCGCGCUACACUGAUGCAUUCAACGAGUUUCUUCCUGGUCCGAGAGGAACGGGUAACCUUUGCAAAGCACAUCGUGAUGGGGAUAGAUUAUUGCAAUUAUUAGUCUUGAACGAGGAAUUCCUAGUAAGCACAAGUCAUCAGCUUGUGUUGAUUACGUCCCUGCCCUUUGUACACACCGCCCGUCGCUCCUACCGAUUGAAUGUUCCGGUGAGCUCUUCGGACUGCGCGGUCUGCAGUUUCUGCGUUCCGUGCGGAAAGUUGCGCAAACCUUAACAUUUAGAGGAAGGAGAAGUCGUAACA
Molecule: ribosomal RNA, 323 nt
Filed under: uncultured eukaryote
Lineage: Eukaryota
Description: partial 18S ribosomal RNA
Rfam family: Eukaryotic small subunit ribosomal RNA
Source: RNAcentral